AUGCACGCUGACAGAAUGCUUAACACAUGCAAGUCGAUGGGGAAGUGGUGCUUGCACCAUGGCAACCAUGGCGGACGGGUGAGUAACGCGUAAGGGACUUACCUGCAGGACUGGGAUAACAGGGGGAAACUCCUGACAAGACCGGAUAAUGUCAUGGAGCUGCAUGGCUUUAUGAUGAAAGGAGACGCCUGCGGAGAGCCUUGCGUCCUAUUAGCUAGUUGGUGAGGUAAUGGCUCACCAAGGCGAAGAUAGGUAGCCGGCCUGAGAGGGUGGACGGCCACAAGGGGACUGAGAUACGGCCCUUACUCCUACGGGAGGCAGCAGUGGGGAAUAUUGGACAAUGGGGGCAACCCUGAUCCAGCAAUUCUGUGUGCACGAAGAAGGUUUUCGGAUUGUAAAGUGCUUUCAGCAGGGAAGAAGUAAGUGACGGUACCUGCAGAAGAAGCGACGGCUAAAUACGUG
RNAcentral lists this ribosomal RNA (462 nucleotides) under uncultured bacterium. RNAcentral describes it as "partial 16S ribosomal RNA". It matches the Rfam family "Bacterial small subunit ribosomal RNA", at positions 29 to 507 of the family's 1533-position model. The record is from RNAcentral.